GAAUCAAACCUUUCUCUUCUUGUUAGGCAUCCAUUCUUGCUAGGAUAAUUUGGAUCGGCCAAAGUGCAAAGUGAAGGCAGAGUACCCAAAACACAAAUUAAUUUUAGGUAUUAGAUUAAUUAAGCCUAAAUAUAUUUAUCUCUGAUCUAAUUAAGGGUAGUCCAGUAAUUUUUGACGGAGUCAAAAUAGAGGAAGUAGAAGUAAAGAUGCGUUGAUUUUGACAUAACUCGGGAAAGAAAAAGUAAUUUACUCAUAUCCUUAUAUUGUAUAAGAAUUAUGGUUUCCUUACUCCUAGCUCACUCCAUUGUCCAUUCUUCUCAUGAAGGUCGUCUUAGUGAAAAAAGUGAUGUAUAUAGUUUUGGAGUU
Molecule: unclassified non-coding RNA, 366 nt
Filed under: Hevea brasiliensis (rubber tree)
Lineage: Eukaryota; Viridiplantae; Streptophyta; Magnoliopsida; Malpighiales; Euphorbiaceae
Source: RNAcentral